This 252-nucleotide ribosomal RNA is filed under the name uncultured bacterium. RNAcentral describes it as "partial 16S ribosomal RNA". It matches the Rfam family "Bacterial small subunit ribosomal RNA", at positions 524 to 776 of the family's 1533-position model. The record is from RNAcentral.
UACGUAGGGUGCAAGCGUUGUCCGGAAUUAUUGGGCGUAAAGAGCUCGUAGGCGGUCUGUCGCGUCGGAUGUGAAAACUCGGGGCUCAACCCCGGGCCUGCAUUCGAUACGGGCAGACUAGAGUUCGGCAGGGGAGACUGGAAUUCCUGGUGUAGCGGUGAAAUGCGCAGAUAUCAGGAGGAACCCCAAGGGCGAAGGCAGCCUUCUGGGCCAACACUGAGGCUCAGGCACGAAAGCGUGGGAGCAAACAGG